GGGGUCGACUGGUUUUGACAGCGAGUAGAAUUGUAAAGUAAGCACGUCGAGCUAUGAAAUUAACGCUCGUUAAUAUCUAUUUCAAAAAUUUAAAUGGCGAGAAUAACUACGCUCUUGCUGCCUAAUCUGAAUAAUAGUAAGAUUUCUGGCUACAUCUCUACAAGGUAGGGAGGCGAGAUGUCUCUAAGCAGCCCUUGUUGGCGGCGGCUUUUAAAGAGGCACCAUAAAAGUCAACAUUGAAUCGGAGGUUAGCUUCCGCCAAAGAUUCUAAUUUGAGGAAGCUAAGUGUUUUGUGGGUGGUUUUCGGUCAGCAAAACAUCGAAAAUCAAUCGAAAACUAAGCGUGUAGAAAGCCUUAUGAUUGCUUGUUUGGACGAGAGUUCGAAUCUCUCCGACUCCAC
Molecule: transfer-messenger RNA, 400 nt
Filed under: Capnocytophaga catalasegens
Lineage: Bacteria; Pseudomonadati; Bacteroidota; Flavobacteriia; Flavobacteriales; Flavobacteriaceae
Rfam family: transfer-messenger RNA
About the family: Bacterial tmRNA, also known as 10Sa RNA or SsrA, is named for its dual tRNA and mRNA-like properties. Its role is to liberate the mRNA from a stalled ribosome.
Source: RNAcentral